CCCGGGUGGUGCCGCUCUCUGCCUUGUGGGCCCUGGACGAGGUGCCUGAACCCGCUGCCACCCUUUGGCCUCGUCCGUCUGAGACCGUGUGACGGUGCACCAUAGGUGGGAACUGACCUCCUACACAUGUAUGCUGGGGAAACAAUGUAGCCAGCUUCCAAUACUGAGACCAAGGCAAAAUUGAGUAAGCUUGAAGAAUGAUGACCGAGGAAGUUGGCUUAUUUGGCGAACCCGCUCCAUCCUGUCCUGGUUGGCCGACGGGAAGGUCCUGUCGGGGAAGAUCUCCCUCAGUUUGCUCAGGAAAAACACCUCCAGGUUUCGACCGGCCCGGGCCACCUCCGAGUCGGGCUGCGGGCAAGCCGGAGCAGAACAGUGAGGUCAGAGAUCCUCUUUCAUUUAUGUGACUUCAACAUCACACCGCUAAUGAGGCCCUAAUUACUUGACUUUUAAAGCUCUUGUGCUCCACGAGUCUAAUGAGAACUGAAAUGUGUCCUCAAAGUCCCUUCCUCAUUUGCCCUCCUGGUCUUACAUCAAAUAUGAGAUUUACACUAAGAACAAUACUUUACGACUCACAUAGUUAAAAGUCGCGCAGUUCUUGAGCAUGAGCAGGACGUCGUGGACAAAGAGUUCUGGCAUGAAGUAGUGCAGAGUGUUGCUCUUGUCCAGCUUCUUGCGGAUCAGCGACAAAUCCACAGGUCUCUUUAUAACCUGGUAGUAGUUCCUCGCCUGAAGCACAUCCAAAGAACCAAUUGAAUGUCAGGAAAAAAGAUGGCGGCUGGGUUUUAAGGUGACCGACCUGACGACUGACAGGCUCGUGGAAAGGAGCGCUUAGCGGGUGAACGUACAGCAGUAAUGUCAACUUCUCACAUCUCUGUAGAUGAGAAAAUAAAUGCUUAGGUAACGCCUCCAAAUGCAAUAUCAUACGUUACGUUAUUGUUAUACCCUCUGGUCACGGUGGGACAGAGCGUAGGGAACGUUGACUCCUUCGCGGCAGAAGUUGUCAACUGGGUCGUGGUCAGUCCUGCACAAAGUACACGUCCAGUCACCCCUACAGGAAAGUAAAACCUCACUUUAGACAUCAUUUUAGCAUAUUUAGCAUCAAUUAGCAUUUUGAACAGUAGGUAAAGUCCUUACUCGUCUACUUUAGCUCUUAAUCUACUCUGGUUACUGUCUUGCUAUCAAUUAGCAUAGCAACUGUUAGCACUUAAUAGUUGUUAAUAUUUUAACAUCAAUUCUCAUUCUCAAUAUUAGCUAACGACGUACGUUGGGAAGCUAAGCAGUGAAGGAAGGUGACAGGCCAGGUGGUAAACUUUGGGGCAAAGGUCGCAGCACAGAAGAUCUCCUCCGUUCAAACACACAGCGCAGAAGUCUUCGCUGUCCAUCUCCUCGCUCUCGUCUUGGACCGUUUCCGGGGUUGGCUCGACACAUUUGAACUCUUGUAUCUGAUCUUCCGGUUCCAGAUCAAGCACCAUGAUCAGCUCCCGGUCAGGAUCCAGGUAAAAGAUAUCUGGGUCAGAUUUACUGGAAUGAACCAGAAUGUAUGGUGGGUCCGCUUUUGGAAAGCUGUCGGGAUGAAGUGGUUCCAUACAGGAUGUUCUCGUGAUGUCAUCCUGCCAGAGGUUGAAGUUAAGAGUCAUUGAUGGGCAAAUCAAAAAUAAGUCUCUAAGUGUUACUCGCUUCGAUGACAGAUCAUGAUCAAGUCAUGUGACUCAAGUCCCCCACCUCAGUCUCUUGGAUAUCCAGGAUGUCAGAUGCAAUUUCAUUGACUUCAUUCUGAAAAGAAAAUCAUCAUGAACAAUUUUUUUUCCUGGCAUGAAUCAUCCUUGUUGUGUUUAUUAUUCUUCAUUUUUGCACCCGCCAAGAACAAUCCAAGCAUUCCUCUGAGAGCUCGGCUCGGUUUUGGCACGGCAGUCGCACCGCAGACACCAAUGGCUGCAGGUUCAGUCGUUCCAAUCGCACAACAGCUUUGCGGGAAUUAUUCAGAACGCUUUUGACCUCCGGCCGGAUCCUGCAAGAACAGCCAGACAAUGUAAGAUGAGGAGCAAUUGUUUUCUUGUAAUGGGGCAAAGAGUUGCACUGCCCCUCCCCACAGAGGAUUCAAUUGCUACUCUGUAUUAAUUACUAGGCGAUAUGUUAUAGCCCAGUUGGUCCUGUUUUGUACAUUCAAAUUCCUGCUUUUUCUGAAAUGAAAAAAAUCUGUGUGGGUUACCUUAUUUUGUGAAGUAAAGUCUUUGUCAAAUGUUUUUCACAAGACGAGGAAGUUCCAUCAGUUUUUUUUUUUUCCAUGGUGAGUAGCUGCCAGAAGGAAAAACAUCAAUUAAAUUGAUAAUCUACUCACACUCUUACCUGGUUAAAAUUGUGAGACUCUGCUGUUUUUCCAGUCUGAAGAAGAGAUGACAGUGAGAGGAAUUAUGUUGUUUGAAGUCAAGUGUCAUGCGGGAGAAAAACAGAAGAGUUUGAUUGGACAAAAGGUGAAAUCCCCACAAGUAGAUGUCUCCUGCUAAUGAUGCCUUCACUUACUCUCCGGGGCUUUCCGUGCUCACAAACAACACCCGAGGUGAGUGUACAUUUACUGCUUCAAACCUUGAUGGACUCUUGUGGCAAAGCCCAUCCAUCUUCUAUAAUACUCAUAGAUUGUGAUAGUCGAUUAUUACGCAAUUGAA
This is a long non-coding RNA of Syngnathus typhle (broad-nosed pipefish), 2663 nucleotides long. RefSeq lists it as uncharacterized. The transcript is spliced from 3 exons. The record is from RefSeq and is a predicted model, not a curated record. NCBI's taxonomy places the organism in Eukaryota, Metazoa, Chordata, Actinopteri, Syngnathiformes, Syngnathidae.